RNAcentral lists this ribosomal RNA (171 nucleotides) under Triticum aestivum (bread wheat). RNAcentral's name for it is "partial small subunit ribosomal RNA". The record is from RNAcentral. Lineage: Eukaryota; Viridiplantae; Streptophyta; Magnoliopsida; Poales; Poaceae.
AUGUGCUUCAAGUUGAACAGCAAGGAGAGGGUGGGGUGCUGCCUGCUGGUGCUGCUGUGCAUCGCGCUCCUCGUCGGCGUCCUCUUCGGGAUGGGCGUCUUCCGCCACGGCUACGACAAGCUCAGCGAGCUCGGCCGCAACCGCACCUGCUACGACUGCCACACCAACUAG